RNAcentral lists this ribosomal RNA (902 nucleotides) under uncultured Campylobacterota bacterium. Its description in RNAcentral is "bacterial SSU rRNA". It matches the Rfam family "Bacterial small subunit ribosomal RNA", at positions 8 to 921 of the family's 1533-position model. Lineage: Bacteria; Pseudomonadati; Campylobacterota. The record is from RNAcentral.
AGAGUUUGAUCAUGGCUCAGGAUUAACGCUGGCGGCAUGCCUAAUACAUGCAAGUCGAACGAGAACGGUCUUUAGCUUGCUAAAGAUGUCAGCUAAGUGGCGCACGGGUGAGUAAUGUAUAGCUAACGUGCCCUUUGGAGAGGGAUAACAGUUGGAAACGAUUGCUAAUACCUCAUACUCCUUCUGUGUUAAUCAUAGUUGGGAAAUGUUUUUUCGCCAAAGGAUCGGGCUAUAUAGUAUCAGUUAGUUGGUGGGGUAACGGCCUACCAAGACGAUGACGCCUAGCUGGUCUGAGAGGAUGAUCAGCCACACUGGGACUGAGACACGGUCCAGACUCCUACGGGAGGCAGCAGUGGGGAAUAUUGCACAAUGGGGGAAACCCUGAUGCAGCAACGCCGCGUGGAGGAUGACGCAUUUCGGUGUGUAAACUCCUUUUAUAUGGGAAGAUAAUGACGGUACCAUAUGAAUAAGCACCGGCUAACUCCGUGCCAGCAGCCGCGGUAAUACGGAGGGUGCAAGCGUUACUCGGAAUCACUGGGCGUAAAGCGCGCGCAGGCGGGCUAAUAAGUUGGAUGUGAAAGCCUACGGCUCAACCGCAGAACUGCAUCCAAAACUGUUAGUCUAGAGUCUGGGAGGGGAAGAUGGAAUUAGUUGUGUAGGGGUAAAAUCCGUAGAGAUAACUAGGAAUACCAAAAGCGAAGGCAAUCUUCUGGAACAUUACUGACGCUGAGGCGCGAAAGCGUGGGGAGCAAACAGGAUUAGAUACCCUGGUAGUCCACGCCCUAAACGAUGAAUGUUAGUCGUCGGGUAGCUAGUCUAUUCGGUGAUGCAGCUAACGCAUUAAACAUUCCGCCUGGGGAGUACGGUCGCAAGAUUAAAACUCAAAGGAAUAGACGGGGACC